CUUCGGAUGUGGGAACAGCUCUUUAAGCCUCUUGGUGGCCCGGGUGACAAAGAGGUGCACCACCCCAGCCCAGCCUUCAGGAUCCCACGGUGUGUGUGAGGUGUGUGCGAGGAGGCCAGGCCUGCCAGCCAGGGCACCCCAAGGGGAGCGGUCUGGCAGGCAGCCCUUGGGCCUCUGGGAAGCCCCGGAGUGGCUGCCGUGGAGGAGGCAGACAGACCAGCGACCAAGGGCAGGGCCGGAGCCCUUCUCCCGGCCAGGACUGCUGGUAGCUCCUGGCCACUGUCAGGCUCUCUGACCUAAGCCCGGCGGAACUCAGGAAGUGUUUACUGUUGGAAGGGAUGCCAGAGAGGCCAGGAAAUGCAGGCAAAUGGUCAGCCAGAAAGAGUGAUAUCCAAAGCCAGUGGGCGUGGGAGCCAGGACAGAGCCGGUCAGAGCUGAGAGCCGAGGCAGCAGGGUGCACUGUAGGUCAUGACUGCAGCGGCUGAUGACUUGAUCUUGGUACAGUUCUACAGGCCCCGGAAGGAGACCCGGACCAGGGCCCGGGGAAGUGAGCCCAUCACGGCCCUGGUGGAGUGACUGGCUGUAGUGUGCUGUUCUCCUAUUUGGUCAAAAGGGGAAGGAAGGACAUUCCAGAGCCCCGGGCCACAAAGAGUGGACAGUCAGCAGGACACAGGAUGAGCCCAAGCCCUGUGGACAGGGCCACCACGUGACUCACUUCAAGACACAGACUGCUUCCAUCAGAACCAUCAGGUCCAGCUGUGGGUGCUAGUCGAGCAUCCACAGAGCCUGGAGCCCUAGCAGAGGGGGCCGGUGGUGGGCACGGCUCCGGCGGUCAAGGGAGGCUGGCCCUGGGACGGCAAUAUGCUGGCCAUCUCCCUGCCCCGUCCUCCAUUCCACAGAAAGUGUCUGUGCUGGGCAUGACCGAGGAAAAGACUUCUCUCUCUGUCUGACAACUCUCCUGGCUCAGAGGUGGGGCCUAGAGACCAGGUUUACCCCUGGUGGGUAAAAUCUGCCUCUUCAUGUCUGGGGGCCCCUCACUGGUACCCUGUGAACAAGAACAUCCAAGGGAGCCAAGCCCAAACUGUCCUACAAACUUUCCAAAGGAAUAUAAUAUGUAAACAAGACAGAGUGUAUUUCUCAUCCUGAAGUUAGAGUAGCUGGUGUUGGGCUGGUAUGUGGCAUUAGGGUACAGACUGCUUUUCUGCUGGGUGGGCCUUUCAUUCACAUGGCUUAAAAUGGCAGCCCUUAUCCAGCCAUCAGGACUACAUUCCAGCCAACAGGCGGGGGCGGGGAGUGGGAGGGGAAGAGGCCUGGGCCUUCUCCUUCCAGGGCACUUUCUAGAAGCUGCUUUGCUAAAUUUCCUCACAUCCCAUUGGCUAGAACAUAGUCACAUGACCAACCUCACGGCAAGAGAGGCUGGGAAGGGUAGUCUUUACUCAGUGAUGUGCCCGGCUUAAGGCAGGGCCCGCGGAGGAAGAGCUGCAGCCUUGGGGGUGCUCUGU
Long non-coding RNA from Bubalus bubalis (water buffalo), 1502 nucleotides. RefSeq lists it as uncharacterized. Lineage: Eukaryota; Metazoa; Chordata; Mammalia; Artiodactyla; Bovidae. The record is from RefSeq and is a predicted model, not a curated record. The transcript is spliced from 2 exons.